GGCUACCUGGCGCAAUGGUAGCGCGUUUGGCUUCGAUCGCCGACGGCACCAGUCAGUCACGUGACACCAAAAGGUUGCAGGUUCGAGUCCUGCGGUGGUCA
Non-coding RNA from Trametes coccinea BRFM310, 101 nucleotides. The record is from the annotation of a GenBank genome assembly. NCBI's taxonomy places the organism in Eukaryota, Fungi, Basidiomycota, Agaricomycetes, Polyporales, Polyporaceae.